UUUUUUUUUUUUUUUUUUUUUUUGGUGUUUGAGACAGGUCUAACUCUGAUGCCCAGGAUGGAGUGCAAUGGCAGGACCACUGCUCACUGCAGCCUCAACUUCUCAACUCUUGGUCUCAAGUAAUCCUCCUGACUCAGCCUUCCGAGUAGCUGGGACCAGAGGCAUAACCCACCACACCCGGAUAUAUUUUUUAUUUUUUACAGAGAUAGGGUCUCACUGUGUUGCCUAGGCUGGUCUUGAACUCCUGGGUUCAAGCGGUCCUCCCACCCUGGUCUCCCAGAGAGUUGGGAUUACAGGCACGAGCCACCACUCCUGACCCUCCUACGUCAUUUUUAAAAGCUACAAAAUAGUUUAUUGAAUGGUUGUACCCUAACGUGUUUUACUAACCCCCAUUUGGGUAUUCACAGUUUCUUUUCCCUUCCUUUCCCUUCCCAUUUUUUAAAGGAAGAAUUCCUAGUACUAUUACUGUUAAAUCACAAUAAAUACAUAUUUUCAAGGCUUUUGAAGUAUACUUUCAAAUUGGUCCCAGGAAGUUUUCAUGGAUUUAUAUCCCUAUCAGCAAUGAGAAUGCUGUUUUUCUAAGAUUUUGUCAAAACUAUUACAGUGAACAACGACAAAUAGCAAAUUUUGUCUUUCAACAGUUAAUUAUUUUUAUUUGUUUUGAUUUGUACUUCUUCAAUUAGUGCAGAAGAUGAACCUUCUUUUUUUGGCUUACAGGCUAUUUAUAUAUUCAAUAUUUUUAAAGCCUGUGGUGUGCCCUUUGUCCACUGGGAGAUGUUAGCAAUUUUCUCAUUGAUUUGUAAAAGCCCUUUGUAAAUCAAAACCAUAUAGCGUAUUUGUUGCAAAUUUUUCCAAUCUAAAGUUUGUCCUAAAAUUUUGUUAAUAGUGUUUUUAGUAUAUCAAAGUUUUAAAGUUUUAUGUAGUGAGGAGUUAAAAUGUUUCCCAAAAUAACUAACCAAUCAUCCCAGCCUUAUUUUUUAAACAAUAUUCUCUUUCUUCACUGAAUUAAAUGCCACCUUUGUCAGAUACUUAGUUCUUCUUUUACUUGGGUUUUUCCCCCACUGAUAUCUACGCUGUUCCACAGGAUUAUGCAUCAAAUCCACUCUUCUACUUUCCUGCAUCUUUAGCAUAGCGUCAUGACACUGCUUAAUAUCAUGUAGAAUGAGACCCUUCCAUUACUCUAGCUUUUAAAAAAAUUCUAGCAAUUCAAAUUAUGAUUUUACUUUCUGAUGAAUUUCAGGGUUAUUUAGACAAGUUUUUAAAAUCUCACAGGAGUAUUAAAUGUAUGAUAUAUUAAUCAGGGGGAAAUUGGCUAGACUAACCAUAUUCAAUCUAUCCAUUCAGUUACAUGGUCUUUUAGUUUAUUCACAUCCUCUAGGUCCUUUUGAGAAUCACUUUGCUUUUUUCUGCGUUUUCUAUGUCUCCAAUUCACUAGUCAAGUUUUAACUGCCGAAUUGAAGCAAUAGUGUGAGGAAGGAAAUGCUCCUGCAAAAUAGUCUUUUAACUAUAUCAAUGUGAGCCGCAGAUAAGGAGAGAAAUGACCCAAUGCUCUUGUCAAAGGAAA
Molecule: long non-coding RNA, 1564 nt
Filed under: Macaca fascicularis (crab-eating macaque)
Lineage: Eukaryota; Metazoa; Chordata; Mammalia; Primates; Cercopithecidae
Description: lncRNA (ENSMFAG00000052767.1)
Source: RNAcentral